CCUACGGGUGGCUGCAGUGGGGAAUCUUAGACAAUGGGCGCAAGCCUGAUCUAGCCAUGCCGCGUGAGUGAUGAAGGCCUUAGGGUCGUAAAGCUCUUUCGCUGGGGAAGAUAAUGACGGUACCCAGUAAAGAAACCCCGGCUAACUCCGUGCCAGCAGCCGCGGUAAUACGGAGGGGGUUAGCGUUGUUCGGAAUUACUGGGCGUAAAGCGCGCGUAGGCGGAUCAGAAAGUUGGGGGUGAAAUCCCGGGGCUCAACCCCGGAAUUGCCUUCAA
Molecule: ribosomal RNA, 275 nt
Filed under: uncultured bacterium
Lineage: Bacteria
Description: partial 16S ribosomal RNA
Rfam family: Bacterial small subunit ribosomal RNA
Source: RNAcentral